This 397-nucleotide ribosomal RNA is filed under the name uncultured bacterium. Its description in RNAcentral is "partial 16S ribosomal RNA". It matches the Rfam family "Bacterial small subunit ribosomal RNA", at positions 523 to 918 of the family's 1533-position model. The record is from RNAcentral.
AUACGUAGGGGGCGAGCGUUGUCCGGAAUGAUUGGGCGUAAAGGGCGCGUAGGCGGCGCGGUAAGUCUGGAGUGAAAGUCCUGCUUUCAAGGUGGGAAUUGCUUUGGAUACUGCCGCGCUUGAGUGCAGGAGAGGUUAUCGGAAUUCCCGGUGUAGCGGUGAAAUGCGUAGAGAUCGGGAGGAACACCAGUGGCGAAGGCGGGUAACUGGACUGCAACUGACGCUGAGGCGCGAAAGUGUGGGGAGCAAACAGGAUUAGAUACCCUGGUAGUCCACACUGUAAACGAUGAAUGCUAGGUGUAGGAGGUAUCGACCCCUUCUGUGCCGCAGUAAACACGGUAAGCAUUCCGCCUGGGGAGUACGGUCGCAAGAAUGAAACUCAAAUGAAUUGACGGGG